This is a long non-coding RNA of Alosa sapidissima (American shad), 64 nucleotides long. RefSeq lists it as uncharacterized. The transcript has 2 exons. The record is from RefSeq and is a predicted model, not a curated record. Lineage: Eukaryota; Metazoa; Chordata; Actinopteri; Clupeiformes; Clupeidae.
UAAAGAGAAUUUGGAGCAGUUCACCAAACAAACCAUAGCUAUCGCGCAAGUUUUAUUCAAAUUA